AACGGAGCCCUCGCUCUGAUCCAGGGACAGGUUCAUGUCGGGGGCAACCAGUGUGCGGCGCUUCCUCUGCUUCAUGGACUCCCCGACAUUCAGGCUGGUGGGAGGAUCUGCAACAACAAGCAGGUACUGCACACAGAACCAGCCGUAGACAAAUACCUGGGGAAGUCCUCGUCCUGCCACUCGUCCUUGACCUCCAUGCUGUCCAUGCGUAAAGUGGCUUCUGCUGUACCCAUCCUCUGCAGGGAGGACAGGCUUCAGCUCGCUUUGGACAACAGAAACAGGGGAUAAGUAGGGAAGAGAAAAUGGUCGUCGAAUGCGUGACAUCAUGUGAAAGUGGAUUUUUGACCCCAGCCGCUUUAGGGAAGGAGACUAAAAUAAAACACUGAUUUGCUCACACAGCAGCCGUUCCCUGAAGGCAGCACACUCAUCUCGUAUGUGCAUGUAUGUAACCAAAGCACAGGUUUUCAUCUACUGCAUUAACUUCCACUUCUGGUUUUUCGAUGCGCAUCUGCAGAGUCUGCUGUGUGUUGAAUCAUUUAUACAAGUAUCAGUCAAGCUAAGAAGAGCAAACCCAUCUAAGGGAUUUUCCUUCACAAAUAAAUCUCUGUUCCAACCUGAGUUUAUUUAACAGACGUCACCCUGGCCCAUUAGUCCAGUGGGAUGGAACUGAUUUGAUACAGUCUAUUUUUGGAUCUGAAACUGCGAUUGUGGGGUAAAAGACACAUGCUCUGUGCCUACAGGCUCCUGAUGCUGCUGUGCUGGGAUUGGGGAAUCGACGUUGACUGUUUAAACGCGCAAGUUGCAACGAUUUAUUUUGCAAUCCUAAAAACGAAAUGUUGUUUGAACCUCCUCUCACACAAAUCGGUCAUAUCUCCAUGAGCAAUGAGGACUGUAGUCACAAAUGUCACUUUGACAGCCUUGCUUGUCCAUUCAGUGAACAUCUGAGACGCAGACGCACGUGUCUGGUGAGGAUUUGGGUCCAGAUGGCAGCAGGACUGCCUUUGCCUUUGUGCCAACCAGAAUAUAAAAGAGAUGAAAAGCAAACUGUUGCUCAAGACGGUGAUUACAGGUUUUUCUCCUGACAGGUUUUGUCCCUUUGAAAUUCAGUAAAGCAGAGGAGAUCCCCCGUGAGAGAGCGAUAUUUGUGUUGGCUUGCAGCUUGAAAAGCGUUAUUGAGGAUUAAAGAUAACUCGGAUGAAAGGAUUCAUUACAAGCUCAGUUAUCUCAACUUGUUUGUCUUUAUCUAAAGGCAAAAGGGAGAGAUGAUAAGGCCUGGAAACGUUAGAAAUCCUCUGCAGCAUUUAAUGCCCCUCACAAAAUAAACAGUAAUAAAAGACUUAGCUUGGUAAUGCUCUAUUUAAUAAUAUGAUCUAAAAUAAUUUGCUUUGUGAAAAGAUCACCUCGUUUCUUUAGAAUAAACUGUUUAGCCCUGAAGCUAGCUCAUUUUCUGCUGUAAUCUCCUAGCUAAAACCUGAAAACAAGUGAAAACAUUUUCAAUAAACUACAAUAAAAGUUAAUAAUCUUUGAAUUUCUAAAGAUGCAGUUUUCACUUCAAAACUGGAAGUUGACCUUUCACCUACUAGAGCUGAUUUUAGGUCAUUGGUUGUUAUGUUCAAAACGUUUUUGCUGAAUGUUUGUCCGUCUUAUAGGAAUAAUGUUACUUUGUCCUUGUAGAUCAGGGGUGUUGAACUCAUUUUCAUGAUGGGUCAUGUCAAAAUCAGUUUGUCCUGAAUGUAUUGAUAAAACCCAUUAAAUUGUAAUUUAAUUUUUAUUUUAA
This is a long non-coding RNA of Gambusia affinis (western mosquitofish), 1777 nucleotides long. RefSeq lists it as uncharacterized. The transcript is spliced from 3 exons. The record is from RefSeq and is a predicted model, not a curated record. NCBI's taxonomy places the organism in Eukaryota, Metazoa, Chordata, Actinopteri, Cyprinodontiformes, Poeciliidae.